RNAcentral lists this transfer RNA (76 nucleotides) under Paracoccaceae bacterium. RNAcentral's name for it is "Rhodobacteraceae bacterium (sponge metagenome) tRNA-Trp". It matches the Rfam family "tRNA". From Rfam's summary of the family: Transfer RNA (tRNA) molecules are approximately 80 nucleotides in length. Their secondary structure includes four short double-helical elements and three loops (D, anti-codon, and T loops). The record is from RNAcentral. Lineage: Bacteria; Pseudomonadati; Pseudomonadota; Alphaproteobacteria; Rhodobacterales; Paracoccaceae.
AGGGGUGUAGCUCAGUUGGUAGAGCAUCGGUCUCCAAAACCGAGGGUCGGGGGUUCGAGUCCCUUCGCCCCUGCCA